AGAUCUAUGUCUGAGCGAGAAAGUGUAGCAAUACAUGAGUAAAGCGGCGCACGCGCGUUGUAGUAACACGUGGAUAACCUGCCUCAAAGUGGGGAAUAACACCGGGAAACCGGUGCUAAUACCGCAUAUUCUGACUGAGUCUGCGGAUUCGGUCAGGAAAGGAGCAAUUCGCUAUGAGAGGGGUCCGCGGCUGAUUAGCUAGUUGGUGAGGUAAUGGCUCACCAAGGCCACGAUCAGUAGCCGGUCUGAGAGGACGGUCGGCCACACUGGAACUGAGACACGGUCCAGACUCCUACGGGAGGCAGCAGUGGGGAAUUUUUCGCAAUGGGGGCAACCCUGACGAAGCAAUGCCGCGUGGAUGAUGAAGUAUCUCGGUACGUAAAAUCCUUUCGACGGGGACGAAACCGCAAGGUUGACGGUACCCGUAGAAGAAGCCCCGGCUAACUCCGUGCCAGCAGCCGCGGUAAUACGGGGGGGGCAAGCGUUGUUCGGAAUUACUGGGCGUAGAGGGUGCGUAGGUGGUGAGGUAAGUCGGAUGUGAAAGCUCGGAGCUCAACUCCGAAAUGGCAUUGGAAACUACCUUGCUCGAGGGUUGGAGGGGGGACUGGAAUACUUGGUGUAGCAGUGAAAUGCGUAGAUAUCAAGUGGAACACCAGUGGCGAAGGCGAGUCCCUGGACAACUCCUGACACUGAGGCACGAAAGCUAGGGGAG
Molecule: ribosomal RNA, 712 nt
Filed under: uncultured bacterium
Lineage: Bacteria
Description: bacterial SSU rRNA
Rfam family: Bacterial small subunit ribosomal RNA
Source: RNAcentral